This 87-nucleotide antisense RNA is filed under the name Klebsiella planticola. RNAcentral describes it as "CopA-like RNA". It matches the Rfam family "CopA-like RNA". From Rfam's summary of the family: In several groups of bacterial plasmids, antisense RNAs regulate copy number through inhibition of replication initiator protein synthesis. These RNAs are characterised by a long hairpin structure interrupted by several unpaired residues or bulged loops. In plasmid R1, the inhibitory complex between the antisense RNA (CopA) and its target mRNA (CopT) is characterised by a four-way junction structure and a side-by-side helical alignment. RNAcentral also lists the same sequence under 1 other name. The record is from RNAcentral. Lineage: Bacteria; Pseudomonadati; Pseudomonadota; Gammaproteobacteria; Enterobacterales; Enterobacteriaceae.
AUAGAGCAACAGCUUCUAUGCAGUUUAUUAAGGCCCCGUUAAUCUUCUGUCCCGCCAAGAAUAGAAAGAUUAUCGGGGUUUUGUCUU